CCAGUGUUGAUCAGUGGCUGUCCAGGCCUUUCAGAGCCACUGACACGCUGACAGCACAAUGAUGAUGUCACUGAUUCUACUGCUGGCCACCCUGGGGCUCCUUGUUCAGGAUUCAUCAGGAGAAAUCAUCCUGACUCAGUCUCCUGGAUCUCAGUCUGUUGUUCCAGGACAGACUGUCUCUAUCAGAUGUAAAGCCAGUUCAAGUGUUACUAAUGACUUGCAGUGGUACCUUCAGAAACCAGGAGAAGCUCCUGAGCUCCUGAUUUAUAAUGCUCAAUCCCGUCAGUCUGGUAUUUCAGAUCGUUUUAGUGGGACUCAGUCUGGAACUGAUUUCACUCUGACCAUCAGUGGAGUUCAGGCUGAAGAUGCAGGAGUUUAUCACUGUCAGCAGGAUAACAGUCUCCCUUUCACACAGUGA
This is a non-coding RNA of Epinephelus lanceolatus (giant grouper), 418 nucleotides long. Lineage: Eukaryota; Metazoa; Chordata; Actinopteri; Perciformes; Serranidae. The record is from the annotation of a RefSeq genome assembly.